UACGUAGGGACCAAGCGUUGUUCGGAUUUACUGGGCGUAAAGGGCGCGUAGGCGGCUUAACAAGUCACUUGUGAAAUCUCCGGGCUUAACUCGGAACGGCCAAGUGAAACUGUCAAGCUAGAGUGCAGAAGGGGCAAUCGGAAUUCUUGGUGUAGCGGUGAAAUGCGUAGAUAUCAAGAGGAACACCGAUGGCGAAGGCAGGUCUCUGGGCUGACACUGACGCUCAUGCACGAAAGCGUGGGGAGCAAACAGG
RNAcentral lists this ribosomal RNA (253 nucleotides) under uncultured bacterium. Its description in RNAcentral is "partial 16S ribosomal RNA". It matches the Rfam family "Bacterial small subunit ribosomal RNA", at positions 524 to 776 of the family's 1533-position model. The record is from RNAcentral.